UUUUUUUUUUUUUUUUUUUUUUUUUUUUUUUUUUUUUGUAUUCUGAUUAUUAUUUGUAAUGUUACUUUAAACUUGUACAAAAAAAGAGAGAGAGAGAAAGACAGAUAUCUUGUAUG
This 116-nucleotide non-coding RNA is filed under the name Pycnococcus provasolii. Lineage: Eukaryota; Viridiplantae; Chlorophyta; Pseudoscourfieldiophyceae; Pseudoscourfieldiales; Pycnococcaceae. The record is from RNAcentral.